UAGGACAUGUGUGAUAAAGUUUGAAAUGAACUAUUGGGCCAAUGGAAUGAACCCAACGUUUGACUGGGCCGUCAGCCCAGUUUCAAUUGCUCAAAAUUUCCCGAAAAGGGCAGAACUCUUCGUUCCUUCUCCGGUUAGGGUUUCUUACGCUGCGGCGAAAUUGGACCUAUAAAUAUGCGCCUCCAUCUUCAGCGGUUGCUCUGUGAUUACAUGCCUUAAUAGGGCAAUAUACGCUAUUCUGAAGAUGAAAGUUUGUGUAGAUAUCUAUGGAAGCUAUAUGAGAGCUUCUGCUACAGUUUGUGUAUUACGUGUUUUGUUUUGUUGUUUUGAGAUUUUUGAAAUUUUUUUUGCGAUGAUGAAUUAUGAAUUAAAUUCACAUGUCAGACUUCGGAGAUUUUUCUUUUCUCGGAAAGAUAAGUCGAUGAGAAUGAAUAUUCAUAUUCUGAGCUUAAUUUUCGGUUUUGGCAUCUUGUAUGUUCUUCGAUUCUUGAAAUUUCAUGAGGUUUUCUGUUCACUUGCUAUCAUAGCCUUUGUAUUAAACUAAGUCCGUGCACCAAUUUUUAUUUAAUGGAAUGACUAAGGAAUUUUGAAGAUUUAUAUUGUCUCAGAACUUGUAUGUUCCACUACGUUCUUCGUCUGUUCGUGCCAAACUUUUUUCUUUCAAGGAAUGGAAUAAGAGUGUGUUUGGGAUUGAGAGGAUCGGAGGUAGGACUUCUUCCAGAUGUGGUUUUAGAAUUAUCAAAUUGCUUAAAGAGCACUGUAUUUGAGAGGAUGGGAGAUUAUAUGAAGACUUGAGACAGAAUCGUGCAA
Cucumis sativus (cucumber) is the source of this 810-nucleotide long non-coding RNA. RefSeq lists it as uncharacterized. The record is from RefSeq and is a predicted model, not a curated record. NCBI's taxonomy places the organism in Eukaryota, Viridiplantae, Streptophyta, Magnoliopsida, Cucurbitales, Cucurbitaceae. The transcript is spliced from 2 exons.